Molecule: ribosomal RNA, 1028 nt
Filed under: Limosilactobacillus fermentum
Lineage: Bacteria; Bacillati; Bacillota; Bacilli; Lactobacillales; Lactobacillaceae
Description: bacterial SSU rRNA
Rfam family: Bacterial small subunit ribosomal RNA
Source: RNAcentral
UCUAAUACAUGCAGUCGAACGCGUUGGCCCAAUUGAUUGAUGGUGCUUGCACCUGAUUGAUUUUGGUCGCCAACGAGUGGCGGACGGGUGAGUAACACGUAGGUAACCUGCCCAGAAGCGGGGGACAACAUUUGGAAACAGAUGCUAAUACCGCAUAACAACGUUGUUCGCAUGAACAACGCUUAAAAGAUGGCUUCUCGCUAUCACUUCUGGAUGGACCUGCGGUGCAUUAGCUUGUUGGUGGGGUAACGGCCUACCAAGGCGAUGAUGCAUAGCCGAGUUGAGAGACUGAUCGGCCACAAUGGGACUGAGACACGGCCCAUACUCCUACGGGAGGCAGCAGUAGGGAAUCUUCCACAAUGGGCGCAAGCCUGAUGGAGCAACACCGCGUGAGUGAAGAAGGGUUUCGGCUCGUAAAGCUCUGUUGUUAAAGAAGAACACGUAUGAGAGUAACUGUUCAUACGUUGACGGUAUUUAACCAGAAAGUCACGGCUAACUACGUGCCAGCAGCCGCGGUAAUACGUAGGUGGCAAGCGUUAUCCGGAUUUAUUGGGCGUAAAGAGAGUGCAGGCGGUUUUCUAAGUCUGAUGUGAAAGCCUUCGGCUUAACCGGAGAAGUGCAUCGGAAACUGGAUAACUUGAGUGCAGAAGAGGGUAGUGGAACUCCAUGUGUAGCGGUGGAAUGCGUAGAUAUAUGGAAGAACACCAGUGGCGAAGGCGGCUACCUGGUCUGCAACUGACGCUGAGACUCGAAAGCAUGGGUAGCGAACAGGAUUAGAUACCCUGGUAGUCCAUGCCGUAAACGAUGAGUGCUAGGUGUUGGAGGGUUUCCGCCCUUCAGUGCCGGAGCUAACGCAUUAAGCACUCCGCCUGGGGAGUACGACCGCAAGGUUGAAACUCAAAGGAAUUGACGGGGGCCCGCACAAGCGGUGGAGCAUGUGGGUUUAAUUCGAAGCUACGCGAAGAACCUUUACCAGGUCUUGACAUCUUGCGCCAACCCUAGAGAUAGGGGCGUUUCCUUCGGAAACG